UGCCAGCAGCCGCGGUAAUACGGAGGGUGCAAGCAUUAAUCGGAUUUACUGGGCGUAAAGAAUGCGUAGGCGGUUUUGUAAGUCAGGUGUGAAAUUCCGGAGCUUAACUCCGGCACUGCACUUGAAACUACAGAACUAGAGGAUAGACGGAGAAAGUAGAAUUCCAUAUGUAGCGGUGAAAUGCGUAGAUAUAUGGAGGAAUACCGGUGGCGAAGGCGACUUUCUAGUUUAUUCCUGACGCUGAGGUAUGAAAGCUAGGGGAGCAAACAGGAUUAGAUA
Molecule: ribosomal RNA, 279 nt
Filed under: uncultured bacterium
Lineage: Bacteria
Description: partial 16S ribosomal RNA
Rfam family: Bacterial small subunit ribosomal RNA
Source: RNAcentral